This 89-nucleotide ribosomal RNA is filed under the name Mercurialis huetii. Its description in RNAcentral is "partial 28S ribosomal RNA". It matches the Rfam family "Eukaryotic large subunit ribosomal RNA", at positions 1 to 88 of the family's 3401-position model. The record is from RNAcentral. Lineage: Eukaryota; Viridiplantae; Streptophyta; Magnoliopsida; Malpighiales; Euphorbiaceae.
GCGACCCCAGGUCAGGCGGGACUACCCGCUGAGUUUAAGCAUAUCAAUAAGCGGAGGAAAAGAAACUUAUCAGGAUUCCCUUANUAACG